Molecule: ribosomal RNA, 394 nt
Filed under: uncultured bacterium
Lineage: Bacteria
Description: bacterial SSU rRNA
Rfam family: Bacterial small subunit ribosomal RNA
Source: RNAcentral
AUUGAACGCUGGCGGCAUGCCUUACACAUGCAAGUCGAACGGCAGCGGACCUUCGGGUGCCGGCGAGUGGCGAACGGGUGAGUAAUAUAUCGGAACGUACCUUUCAGUGGGGGAUAACGUAGCGAAAGUUACGCUAAUACCGCAUAUUCUGUGAGCAGGAAAGCAGGGGAUCGCAAGACCUUGCGCUGAUUGAGCGGCCGAUAUCAGAUUAGCUAGUUGGUGAGGUAAAGGCUCACCAAGGCGACGAUCUGUAGCGGGUCUGAGAGGAUGAUCCGCACACUGGAACUGAGACACGGUCCAGACUCCUACGGGAGGCAGCAGUGGGGAAUUUUGGACAAUGGGCGCAAGCCUGAUCCAGCCAUGCCGCGUGAGUGAAGAAGGCCUCGGUUGUAAG